RNAcentral lists this ribosomal RNA (214 nucleotides) under Salmonella enterica subsp. enterica serovar Minnesota. Its description in RNAcentral is "partial 16S ribosomal RNA". It matches the Rfam family "Bacterial small subunit ribosomal RNA", at positions 1 to 218 of the family's 1533-position model. Lineage: Bacteria; Pseudomonadati; Pseudomonadota; Gammaproteobacteria; Enterobacterales; Enterobacteriaceae. The record is from RNAcentral.
UUAAAUUGAAGAGUUUGAUCAUGGCUCAGAUUGAACGCUGGCGGCAGGCCUAACACAUGCAAGUCGAACGGUAACAGGAAGCAGCUUGCUGCUUUGCUGACGAGUGGCGGACGGGUGAGUAAUGUCUGGGAAACUGCCUGAUGGAGGGGGAUAACUACUGGAAACGGUGGCUAAUACCGCAUAACGUCGCAAGACCAAAGAGGGGGACCUUCGG